CAAACUGUGACCCACACUAUGAUACGGUUCUCUACACAUUAUUUAUCUUCACUUUGACCUUUGACCUUCCACAGCAGGAAGAACCACGGGAGGCCCCGCCCACACACUCCCGACACAGACACAUGUUUGGAGAUGUCUGUGGAUGAACCAGGAGAAGUUCUGCUGGUGAGAGACCGCGGCUCUCCUGACAGACGUAGGAGGACGUGGACCUCCAGGGUCACGGAUCCUCUGCAGCCCGUGGACCACUGGAGACCCCUAGUGUGGGAGUCAAAGAGGCGGAGUCAGAGUCUGGACUUAAGGAGACAGAGGAGAGGUCUUUUCCUGACUCCAGACGCCUGGAUCCACUCCCUGAGCCAGGAGAACUUCUCAUGGUGGAGACCUCCGAGCUCAGCUGAUCCAGCUCCAGGAACCAGUCCAGGAAUCAGCCCAGAGGGCCCCACACCACAGGAGGUCCCUGGUUCUUCUGUGCCCGUGAGGAACCAGGCCAGAUCUGGUCCUCAGGAGUCUGCUAGCAGCUACAGCAGCUAUGCUAGCAGUGGUAGAGGUAGCAUGGAGCCGACCAAUCACGGACUCUCUCCCUCUCGCCUCUCUCCGGCCCUCAGAGGGUCAGCAGACCCCCAGGGGGGCCCCCACAUGGAAAUGAAGCAGAGGAGGAAGACCUCAGUGGACGAAAACUAUGAGUGGGAUUCAACGGACAUCAGCACACACACUGGAGAGAAGGAUGGGUUAUUUUCUCUGCGCUGUAGCCGUCCCAGCAUGCACUGCUCCUCUCAGGCACUGAAGACGUCUCAGAGAAGCUUCUCCGACGAACCCCAGCUGGACACGGUGCUGUUCUGACGGUUUGUGGAUGGCAGAGACGUUCCUUGAAGCGUGCAGAACCCCAUCAUCGUCUCUAAAUGAUGAUCUUUUAAUGAACUGAGGGAGAAACACAUCAGAUGAACUUUAGCUGUGACGUAUCAUUUCUGAUCAAAGUGUGUAUUAGUGUUGGUUCUUUUCUGUUCUUCACUUUAGCAAAAUAAGAAACACUGAUCAUUUUUCUUCUGAAUCAUCUCAUUUGUGGAGACAUUAUCUCGCUCUGGGUGUAAAAAUGUUUUCAUGUUACCAUGGUAACAGGAGCAAAGCUGCACACAGGAGGUUUUUUGUUUUUUUUAUUGUAUUUUGGGCUUCAUAUCAGUAUAGGAAUAGAUUUAGUCUAAAUAUAUUAACAAACUGGAGCUCAAAGUUAUUUCAAACUCAAACAUUUGUUCUUUGUGUUAAGCAACAUAAGGUUUAAGUGAUGAAAUGUAGACAUCAGGUUCAGAGCAGAAGGUCCACCUACUCCAGAUGUUUGGAUGUUAAUGCUCAUGUAGUGAACGCAGGGUUGGGGUCAAUUACAAUUUUCAAUUACGAUUACGUUUUUAACUAUUAAAUGUUCAUUUUCAACUCAAAUACGAUUAUAUAUAGGGACUACCAUUUCCCCUGAAAGUCAAUUAUAAUUACAUUCUCAAUUACUAAAGUUUAAUUACAGUUAAUCACAAUUUACUGAGUCUUCCUCAUGUGUUAGCUUUCUGUUAGCAUCUCUUCUGGGUCAUUACAUGACAUUUCAACUAAUGGCCCACGCACUCCAGUCUCAGAAUUAUGACAUUUUGUUUAUCCUAAUUUUUUUUCAUGUUCAUCUUCCAAUAUAUCAGUAACUCCAUCACAUAUAAAGGUAAAUAUGAUAUAGUAAUAAGCUCCACCCACUCUCUCAGAAUAUAGAAAUAGAUCUGCUAUACAUCCUAUAUAUCUGGUGGACAUGUCAGCUCCUCUAAAUAGUCACAAAGUCAGUGUGUGUUUGGGUCUGGAACAUGUUUGGGUCUUCAGUAAACUACUUAGCAUAUGUCUCAGCUCCCUGUAAUGUGAUCAGCUUAGAGCUAUGAACAUAGACUGUUCACAUCACUAAUGAUUAGUCACAGAUAUGCAUUGGUUCUAGACUCACACGCUCUGGAAAUAUGAAAAUAUACUUAUUUUUAACUAUUUUUAUUGACUCAUAACUACAUGUGGGAAUGUAAGAACAAAUCUGAUAAUUUAUAGUAUAAAAGGACAUAAAACCAUUUUUAUUUAUGCAACUUCUUCAUUUUUGUUUUGGACCCCAUCUUUAGGUUUUCACCACUCGUGCAUAUUAAAAAUUAAUAUUUUUGGUGUGGCUGUCUGGACCCCCUAGAUUACCCCUCAAAAUGUACAUAAUACAUAAUUGUUAACUAUGCAUGUGUAAGACAUAGAACUGUAACAUGUAACAGUUUUGUAUUUAAUUAAAUUGUAAAUGACAGUUUUUAUAUCAUUUUCAUGCCGAUUACAAUUAAAAAGUCAAUUAUCUGAACUUAUUUACAAUUCAAUUACAAUUAUAAUUGACCCUGAACCAGCCUCUCACACACUGUACUCACAGAGAUAACAGCACAUUUUUAAAAAACACACACAAUCACUUUUCUUGUCAGUUUUUUUCUCUCGCUCUUGAUUAAUGUCUAUGUAUUGUUCUGUGUCGGAGAGCGCUGCAGCAGGUUUACUACCGAGCGUGACAGAUUAGAUCUCAUUUCUGCUUGUUACUGUAUUAUCUCCAGCUAAGAGUGAAAUUGGUCCCAUUAUGUGCAUUAACACCGUAGAAAUAUAGUUUCAGAGUAGAAGCUAAACAAGAGUUAAAUCAGUCAAUCACUGGUGUUAAGAUGUCAGAGAAGUUAAUGACUUGACCCAAAGCACAGUAACACCAUCAGGAGGAAAGUGGCUUUUCCUUCUGCUUUAAUGAAUCCUUUACCCACGAGACUUCCUUUGCUUGUGCGUCAGGAACCGAGCGCGGCCGCCCCCGUCCUGAUUAACCAACGUAUUGGACUCGUUACCAGCACAGGUUUUAGGCUCUUUUUUAAAUUUCACUGACAACCAAAAAGUCUUUUGCACUAAAGUCCUCCAGCAUGAGUGUCAAAGUCAUUUAUUUUAAUCCAGAGGCCAAAGAUGGAGCAGUUUGUGUGGGAAGGUGUGGAGAAGAAGAAGAAGCUAUGUUGACAUUAAUGUGGCCUAUAGUUUACAUUUCUACCAUAAAGUCUGUAACACACUGAUCAUAUCAACCACUAAGAGACUAAUAUCAGUCUCUGCUCUUGGAUAUUUGUGUAAUUUUGGGAAUUCUUCUGGUAUUGCAGGAUUUUCUCUCAGAUAGACAUAGUUUUAUAUUUGUAUGUACAUAAAUUAGAAUAUAGUGUGUUAUUUGUACUUUUGGAAUUAUUGUCUGUCAUUUGAUUAUGGACUGCACUAUGAAGUAUAAUGUGUAAAAAAUGUUUACCCUGGAGGAAGAAAAUAAAAUAGUUGAUAUAUUUGAAGAAUUGUACCCG
RNAcentral lists this long non-coding RNA (3335 nucleotides) under Gouania willdenowi (blunt-snouted clingfish). RNAcentral's name for it is "lncRNA (ENSGWIG00000026000.1)". The record is from RNAcentral. Lineage: Eukaryota; Metazoa; Chordata; Actinopteri; Blenniiformes; Gobiesocidae.